This is a long non-coding RNA of Malus domestica (apple), 758 nucleotides long. RefSeq lists it as uncharacterized. Lineage: Eukaryota; Viridiplantae; Streptophyta; Magnoliopsida; Rosales; Rosaceae. The record is from RefSeq and is a predicted model, not a curated record.
GGAGAGAGUUGUCUUGUUUGAGUUGAAAGGGCCUUGAAAUUUUCAAACAUGAUAUGAAUGUGGUGGUGGCCUUUCCCUCUGCCCUAAAUCUCUUUCCAGUACUGCUUCUUAGAUCUGCAUGUCGGUGAUUUCACCUUAUUAUGUUUAUAUAUACCCUCGCCUUCGUCUGCCUUCCUGUACCUUUCCAUUUUCUCAGCUAUUAGUUCUCUCCCUUCGAUCUUUGGCAAUAAACCCGAGUUAUGUAUACAUAUAGAAGUAUUCAUGUAUAGUUUUAGUGAACAAGCAUGCCUCUUCUACCUGGUCAAAACAACUUGUAUUUGUUUGCGUGCAUGCAAACCCUAUAUUAUGUGGUGUAUUUACUUCAUGAAUUCAAUCCCUAGCGCUUUAUAGAUGAUCUUUAGCACUUCAAAGCAGAAAUUAAGAGAUAUGAGAUGCCUCUGGGAAGAACCUAUUUUUUCUGGAUAUACGACAGGAUGAGGGGCUUUCUUUGAAGAUCGAUCUUUGAGAAUGCUACAGAAGCUGCAACCGCCUUGCUUGAGGCUACUUACUGGACUCACUAUUCCAGCUGGAGCUUAGGUCGAUGUAUUGUAUGGCAAACUAAGAAAGAUCGAACUUGUGUAUAUAUGACUCAUGUAUUUUUCCGUUGUGAGUUGUUUUUAAUUCACUGGUGUAACCAGUUAAAAUCUUUUAUGUCUUCCUGUGACCUGAUUUCAAGGCUUCAAUUUGCAGUAAAAAUACAAAACUAUCAGAUUAAUGAA